GACCUGGUGGUGAAUGGAUCACGUUUGCUUUCCUUUACCAAGGAGCACAGCAUACAGUGGGAGUCCCCGGUUCGAUUCCGGGUUGGGUCA
Non-coding RNA from Mycena metata, 90 nucleotides. The record is from the annotation of a GenBank genome assembly. NCBI's taxonomy places the organism in Eukaryota, Fungi, Basidiomycota, Agaricomycetes, Agaricales, Mycenaceae.